GGGGAUGUAGCUUAGCGGCACAGCGCCUGCCUGGCAAGUGCGAGGCCCCGAGUUCAACUCCCGGUACCACCA
This is a transfer RNA of Cavia porcellus (domestic guinea pig), 72 nucleotides long. It matches the Rfam family "tRNA". Rfam says of the family: Transfer RNA (tRNA) molecules are approximately 80 nucleotides in length. Their secondary structure includes four short double-helical elements and three loops (D, anti-codon, and T loops). The record is from Rfam. NCBI's taxonomy places the organism in Eukaryota, Metazoa, Chordata, Mammalia, Rodentia, Caviidae.